UUGUGGGUACCACCCCAGGAGACCUCCACACAGGCUUUACAUGUGUGGAGCAAACUCCUGCAGUGAGGCCAUGCAGAAACAUGUUUAGCAGCUGCUCUGCAGAAGCUUGUGACUUGCUGGGCCCCAAGGUGUCAGGCUGGGACAGCAAAGCCAGGGGCUCAUGGCCUUCCAUGAAGUUUCCCUGCUUCCAGAAACCAGGUGACAAACCAGAAACCUGUGUGCCAGGCCAGGCUCUGCCUUGUUCUCAGAGGCGAGUUGUUAGGCUGUCUAUGCUAACACUCUGUUGCUCACCUCUGGAACUCUCCAUGGACCAGCUGCUUUACCCAAGUAGUGGGUAUGGAGAAAGAGGGAGGUCCUGCCUGUGCUGGUGACACAGGGAGAUUUACUCACCUUUCCCUGAGAACGGAGGUGCUCCUCCUCCAACCUGAGCAAGUCACUCCUAAAUUACUUAACUAAAGGCUUUUGAAAACAGUGUGAAAGUCUAAAUGCAGGUGCUGGGACACCACAUGCUCCUUUCUGAACCACAGCUGGGACAGAAAACCAUCCUCUUCCCCAGCUGUGCAGGCUCUCCCUUGCGACCAUGGUUUAUGAGGCUGCUCCCUGUGCUAGUCCAAACUUGACCUGCUUCACAGGGAAAAGGUAUUUUGAGCGUCUCUGAAUCUGGUCUGGACUUGGCCAGGACAUUCACGCUAUCCUUGUGGUUUGUGAUACCACCCAUGUGGGUGAUGCUGAGCCACAGCAGGGCUGGGAGAAACCUGCUCAAGGCAGCACAAACAGAGCAGCCGCCAGCUUUAAAGCAAGUUUAAUCCAAGGUUUCUGCCCCAGAACAGAGCUGCCUGUUCCUUCCACCCUCUUUAUUCUACAAGGGUACAAAACUGACUCCAGUGCUGAUGCAAGCCUCCCACGCAGCACUGUGGUGUAUUAUCAGCUGAGCUGAUAACUGAAUGUACAAGUCUUUUCGCCUUUCCCAGGCUUUGAACGCAGGGAACAGGCUGUGUCCUGCUCAGAGGAAAGGGCUGGAAAUGCUGCCCCUUGGCACUGCCCACUGAUGCUCAGAGUGGGCAGGUCCUGCACCGCUCCUCAGCCCUCCUAGGCUGAUGGUGGUGACACAAGGCACUGUCACCCUACCCUAGGUGCUCAGGACGUUUCAAGCAGGUCAAGUGAUGAGCAUGUGGCAAGAUGCUUUCCAGCUUUUCUCUUUUCUUGCCUUCUACUCAGGGCUUCCUGAGUCAGCACUGCCCUGCAAAAAGGGCUGUUUAUCACAGCUGGGUUGUGGUCAGGACUGUCUUGGAAGGAGGGAAUCUGUUCUGUUCUCCUGCAGACCUGCCUUGUCAAAGCAGAAUAGGGAAGGAAAGCAGAGCCAGAGAGGCUGGCCCAGGCAAAAUGCCUCCGAAUGCCCCACAGAGUCACAGGAGGCUGUGGAUGAAGGUCACACAGUGACACACCCCUGGCUUUCUGCAGAGUCGGGGCUGGAGGAUGAAAAGAGCUUCUGAGAAACAAUAUCUGAAUCCUACAGAUUGUAACUAAUCCCAAAAUGCAUGUAAUUUAAUGACCCAGGGAUCUUUGUACAGAACAGCCUCACAAACCCUGCCCUACUUUGCAAUAAGACACCUAAGACUCACUCACUUCCCUAUGAGCUAUUUUUCUCUCCACAGUCUAAGCUGAAACCAGACAUCGCUGGAGUGAUUUAUUCACCCCCUGACUCACCAAGGCAAAACAUCCACGGCCAGAGAGAGCAGUGAAACCUCCUCAGCCACGCACAGCACAUGCCAGUCAACCCUGCUUUUGAAGCUCAUGCAUUUUGCCAGCCCUUGGAGAGGCAGGGUGCAGCCUGGGGAGGCAGGAGAGGGGGAUCAAUCCACAGAACUUUCUGAGGGUCUGUGGACAGGCUUGUCCUGAGUCCUGGAGCAAGCCUCCAAGUCUUGUCUGGGGACAGCUCAGAACAGCAGUGAAAUCUUUGGCUGGGAAAGCAGAGCUGAGCAAAGUGACAUGAGAAUUACUGGCUACACUCCGGUCCCACCUUUCCAGGUCACAUCUGCCCACAGAAGUUUGGCAGUGGAGUGAGUAGACAUUUCUUUGUUGUUUCAUGCAGGAUUUCAGCCAUUCCUCCUGCCCAGGCUGUGCUCCAGAUAAAAAACUUCAUCCUCACUACUGCCAGGAGCUUCAUCCAAAGAGAAAGCACAGGUAUGUAAAGGAAUGUUGCACAGACAGGUCUGCCUGCCCCAAGUUUUGCUUACUCCUAGGACUUUUCUCCAAGUUAAGAUUUAGUGAAGGAAAUUGCAGUUUCUAGAUCCCAAUCUAGCAUUUAAUGCAGACAGCUUUUGUCCAGAGACAGACAGCGUCUGCCAAGGCUUGGUAGCUAUGUUAAGCUUUUUCCAUAUGGCUGGGCAGGAGAACCUUUGGGCGCUGCCCCUGGUCUCAGACUUGCAGCAGACCUUAACACCUGCCUUCUUAGUUCAGCUCUUUGGCUCUCUGAAGUUCUUCUCUGCUUUGUCAAGGACAAAGGAAAAGGAUACUGUACGGGCAAUGUCUGAGAGCAGAGAAGUCACAUCCCUGUCCUCUCUUACACCUUCUAUGAUGUACACGCACUGUGUUCAUUGCUCCUCCAUGAUCACCGCACUGCUCAUGGUGUUGCAGCCUGACACAUCCUCCUGUUUCCAGGCUAAAGAACCUCGGUUGGUUUUGCACUGAAGCAAACCUGCCUAGAUCUGCAGGCAGUUUUGUUCCCCCUCUGCACCUUGUCUUGUUCCCUUGUAGUCUGCAAGAUGGGCUAUUUCAAACACAGGCUGCAUGGAAGACACCAGUCUGCUAUAGAUUUGUCCUCACUAAGAGGAUCUUUUGGUCUGGAGGGCUUUUACAGUUUUCUUUUUGACAGAUGCUGAGCUGACAUUUCCACACCACUGUCUCUGAGGCCUCUCCCAACCUGACAGAAAGCUCAGUGCAGCUUGGACCACUGCUCUCUGCCUUUCUCCAAGCUUGUUCUGGAAGGUUUUCCAAACAUGCUCCUCAGUCAGCGUCAUAAGGAUAUUCUGCAACUUCCCCUGGUUUUACCAGAGGCUGUGCUGAAUAAUUUCCAGCAUCAGCAGAGUCAGCUCAUUGCUCAUCUCUUUUCCAGAUCACCCGAGCACACUGCACUCCACGCAUCCCUGCAAGAACCUCAAGGGAGCUCAGCGCUUCUCUCCCUUGACACAACCUAUUGCUUCCUCCUUUCUCCCUGCAGAAGAUCCUGCCCUGCACAAAGCUGAUGUCUUGGAAAAGCCUCUUGGAAAUUAAAAGCCAGCAACACCACAUAGUUCUACAAAGUGCUUUAGCCAGCCAGGAGAUGAGAUUCCCUUACAAAAACAAAACCCAAACUUUCAAGUACAUUUAAUAGGAUGUUUUCUGCUAAUUUGGCUGGUGGUUUCAGCCAGUUUGACCAGCGCAGAAACUUCAUUAACUGGUAUGUGAUUUGUACACUGUUUUUUCCAGGCUUGGUGGGACAUUGGACAUGCACCACUCAGGUAUGAAGGUAAAUUUAAGAAAUAAGGCAAUUAGAUAAUUUCUAAAGACAUGCAACAAUAUUUGUAUGUGGAAAUUUCUCACCUUUACUACCUCUUAUUGAAUGCAUCACCCCUGGAAAAUGUGUUAGAACAUUCCCAAUUUUAAGAGCAAAGAAAGAGGCAGUUAAUUCACUUAGGGAUUUCUACAUUCUGGCCUUAACCGUCUGAAAUGCUUGUCUUACACCCCUACUCGCAGUGAGCCCUGCAGUCAUACUCCCUGGCAGCAAACCAUUGCUGAGGCAGCAUUUGGAGUUUUUCAUUAGUUCCUUUGAUGUUCCUUCAGCAAGCUAUUUCAUUCCCAUUUGUUUUAUACUCCCUCAUGAUGGUUUUAUAUUUAACAUGCUCCUAUUUGUGGUUUUAUGUUUAACAUGCCCCUGUUUGUUCUCUGGUUUCUCUUCCCUGCCUGGGCAUGAAUUGCACCAUUUGAAGCCAAGCUGUUCACUUCUGGUGCCUCCCUCCUUGUUUUAUGUUAUUUCUUUCUUUUUAUUAUUUCUUUGAAUGUUUUAUUUAUUUUAUUUUCCUGGUUUAUUACAGAACUUUUUGAGGGUCUGUGGACAGACUGCCUUCCUCUGAGCUUUUGGCACCACUUUCACAUACAUUUUACCUUUCAGAUAUUGGUGGGAGAGCAGUAAUACUGUUUUCCUUGUUUCAAAGCGUCAGUGCAUAGAGCACCCUGGACUUUCUGGAGCACUUCUAGAAGCUGGAGCAGACGUUCCUGUUCCUGCUCUGCAUUUUAGCACCUCCUGUCCUAUACGCUUAGAGAUCCACAUGUCUUGCGACAUUACCCUCAGCAGAUACGUAGUGCCAAGCCCGUGCUCUGUCCUGUCUGGGCUUUUCCUCUGGCUUCCAGAGCCUGGCAGCAGCUCAAGCUCCCCUUGCACCCCCGCACGCCCCAUACCUUGCUCCAGGAGAGGUGGUCUUGGACACUGUCAAUGGAAAGGGCGAUCAUCUUCACGUUGCGCUUCCUGAACUCGGGUGCCAGCUUUGCCGCCCGGCCAAGCUCAGUGGUGCAGACGGGCGUGAAGUCCCUCGGGUGAGAGAAGAGGAUGCCCCAUCUGAGAGAUGAGAGCAGGAGAUGGUGUUAGGGCCAGACAUUGUUCCAGUUUGUACCGCGGAUUAAAAGCUGUAUGGAUAGCACUACACAGAGACUAGUGUGGGAACAGCUCAUCUCUCUGCCAAAUGGAAAUCCUGCCCCGGGAACUCUUUCUUCCUCAUUGCUAGAAACCUUCAGGAGACGAGCCCUGUUCAUCGUGCUCUGAGAACCUGCCCGCGCUUUGCUUCCCCUCCAGGAUCCCCAGGGAACACUGGCAUAGCCCACCCUUCCUGAUGUGGAGCUGGACACCGUGUGAGGAAGUUUGGGGAAGUCACGUGUACACUCUGUACCCCAGAGACCAUGUGUGUGAGGGCACGUAGAUGCUGACCUGCUGGACAAGUUACUGCAGAGAUCGUUACUGAUUUACGAGGCUAUUCACCAUCCUGCAUGCCUCAUCGAUCACCGUGAGGAGAAACACCCAUGUCUAUCAUGCUGCUUAGAAGGAUGGUAUAGGAGUAAACCUUAAACCAACUGCUGCUGUGAGCUGCUGAAUGUACUUCAUGACAAAAAUAAGAAUUAAUCAGCUAACAGGGGAGGCCAGAAGUUAACAUCACAUUAUGGCUACAGUUACAUGAGUACUGCCACCUCACUUUUGCCCACUGCUUCCCAUCUGUGGAUCCUGCAGUCUUUCGAUCGGGAAAGCACAAGUCACCGCACUUUACAGCUAAGGCAAGGGGCGCACAGAGAAAGCACUUAAAAUUCCCUGCCAGGGGCUCGUCGCACCAUUUUCCAGCUCAGUGCUCACAGGGCUUACUGCAUCGCUCUUCCCCUGGGCCCCAGUGAAUACAGCUGCAGGACACAGCAGCCAGGGAAAGCGCUGCCUGAAAGAUUUGGGAACGGAGCUGGAGGGAUCAAGCGAGGCAGCUCUGCCCGAGCCCCACGAUUGCCAUAGCCCGCCGUGACGUGAAAGGGCAGCCACCUGGCUGCUGGUGCUACAAGUGCCUUUACGCUGGAAUAAAAAGGCAGCAAGUAAAAUGGAAAAGCAGAGCUUUUUUCUUUUCUUUUUUCCCCGGUCUCCCAAGGAGCAGAGUCAAACGCCGGUUCAGGCCGGCAGCAAUCCGGGCAGGUGGUGUCGCCGCCGGACACGGGCCACCGGGCUGAGGGGGACGGGGCGUGAGGAGCCCCCCUUCCCCCGCCGGGGCUCACACGGGACCGGAGCCCUUCGCCGCGGCUCCGUUACACGGCUCCGCACGCCCGGGCUCACACAGCACGUAUGUGACAAACGAGCUGUUCUCCGGCACUGGCCUGGGUUAAGCGCGGCUCAGCCAAGCCCAGCUUUGCCCUUCCCGGGCUCUGCCGUUUUGGGAGCGGCUCUUCUCCCCCGUGCAGCCCGGACGGGGGAAGGACGGGACCGGCGGCUCUGCCCACUCCGCGGGCCAGGCUGCGCAUCGCUCCCCGGGAAACCGCGGCUCGGCCCGCCGGCCAGUGGGGCAACCGGGGACUGUGCCCCGCGAGGCUGCCCGGUGGCUACCCUCGUAGGGCCACCCGCUGCCCCGAUUCCCCGGCGCCGUGGAGGGGCCGGUGACCAUCCCGGGGUGCGGAGCUGUCUCCGGUCCCGCUGCCCCCCACCCCCUCCCGGUGCUCACGAGUCUCCCAGGAAGUCGUGGAAGCGGAUGCGGCCCUGCGUGGUCUCCGCCUCGAAGUUGGGCGCCUCGUCGCCCAGCAGCAGGCCCGGCAUGGCUGCAACUCCGGCUGCGCUGCGCUCGCUGCCGGCACCGCCUCUGCGCCUGCGCGAGGCUACCGGGGCGGUGGGGCCACCCGGACGGACACGUGACGGGCGGUCGCCGCCUCCCUUUACGGCCGCUGUCGCGCUUAGCGACGCUUUGCGACGUGGGGGAGAGAGAGGGAGGUGGGCGGUCCUGCCGCGGCCCCGCUCUCCGGUGAUGGCGACGUACGUGAGCGAGCUGGAGGCGGCCAAGAAGAGCCUGAGCGAGGCGCUGGGCGAGAACGUGAAGCAGUACUGGGCCAACCUGAAGCUCUGGUUCAAGCAAAAGAUCAGUAAGGAGGAGUUUGACCUGGAGGCACGUAGGCUCCUCACGCAAGACAAUGUCCACUCGCACAAUGAUUUUCUCCUGGCUAUUCUGACCCGAUGCCAGAUCUUGGUUUCUGCACCAGAAGGUGCUGGGUCUCUGCCAUGGCCAGGUGGCUCUGCAACUAAACCUGGAAAACCCAAAGGAAAGAAAAAGAUUUCUUCAGUUCGACAAAAGUUUGAUGCAUACAGGCAUGUAGCUUUCCUGUAAUGAAAGCGUAAAUCUUCAGAACUACCGGGAGGGAAACCUGCUUUCACAUCACUAGUGGGUGGAUUGGUUUUUCACUUUGAGUUAAAUGCCACACUGUCCUUUGAAUAAAGCACCCCCCGCCCUUCCUCUUCUGAAACCAAGAUGUGAGAAAUCUGCUUGGCUGUAUAUUAAUUGUUUAUAUGUGAGCACCGGUUCCAGCCUCAAAAUCCUCUCUCUGGAGCCCAGCAGUUUGUGGCAAAGGAUCCCCAGGAGGAUGAUGACUUGAAGCUGUGUUCUCAUACCAUGAUGCUUCCCACACGGGGCCAGUUAGAAGGAAGGAUGAUCGUAACCGCUUAUGAGCACGGGCUGGACAACGUGACGGAGGAGGCAGUGACCGCAGUUGUUUAUGCUGUGGAGAACCAUCUUAAAGAUAUUCUGACAUCUGUGAUAUCCAGGCGGAAAGCCUAUCGUCUGAGAGAUGGCCAUUUCAAGUACGCCUUCGGCAGCAACAUUAACCCUCAGCCGUACCUGAAGAACAGUGUUGUUGCUUACAACAAUUUAAUUGAGUGCCCUCCGACCUGUGCGACACCUUCUGCGGGUCAGAGCCUCGCUCCCCAGCCCCCGCCCGAUGACGCUGAGCAGCAGGCAGCUCUGCUCCUGGCGUGCUCUGGGGACACCUUACCAGCGUCCCUCCCGCCAGUGAACAUGUACGACCUUUUUGAGGCGUUACAGGUGCACAAAGAAGUUAUUCCUGCGCAUACUGUCUACGCUCUAAACAUUGAGAGAAUUGUCAUGAAACUCUGGCACCCAAACCACGAGGAGCUGCAGCAGGAUCAAAUCCAUCGCCAGCGCCUGGCGGCAAAGGAGGGACUUCUGCUCUGCUAGAGCUGGGCAGCCGUGCCAGGCCUUAGGUGGCCAUGGUGCUGCUCCUUGGACUUGACAUUCAGAUACUUCUUACAAACCUAUGUCAGCAUUUCAAAGAUAAUGCAACUUGUGAGUCAACUUUUCCUAUGGAAACAUGACUGAGUUGUGGUACGCUUUCUCUGCUUCCCCAGAGCCAUGUACCAUGGAGUACGUGCAGCAAUCCCACUGAAUUGGAAAGGAGAAACAUAACAUUUGUUUGCAAAGACUGUUUUUUAGGAAAAAUAAAUGUGAGGGUGGAAAGAGUUGGUUUUAAAUAAGGUGUAUUUGUGUUUUGUGAGCAUGGGGAAUCUGCCUCCUUGCCCUCCCAUCUCAGGUAGUUUCCCCUUCUAAGCUGUCUCCAGGGCCUUGUCCAGCUUUUGCUCAUUUAACUGGAAACAGGGAGGGCUCUUGUGAAGAUGGGCAAUUCUCUAAGCUGACAAUGUUCCUCUUCUACAAGGGGAACUUCUGAUUAGAAAGUGUGAGGAAAAUAUGGCACAAAAGGGAAAGGUCAUUUUUAGCCUGUCUUCUGAACUGUUUUGCAUCACAAACAUGGUCUGCACUGUCAUAGGAAUCUCUCACCAGUUACCAAAGUAUGCAAUAAAAUCAGGGUUGUGAGUAA
Molecule: RNA transcript, 8373 nt
Organism: Columba livia (rock pigeon)
Lineage: Eukaryota; Metazoa; Chordata; Aves; Columbiformes; Columbidae
Gene: TADA1
Gene name: transcriptional adaptor 1
Exons: 9
Source: RefSeq, a predicted model, not a curated record